This 16833-nucleotide long non-coding RNA is filed under the name Nicotiana tabacum (common tobacco). Its description in RNAcentral is "long non-coding RNA (NTAB_LNC007252)". Lineage: Eukaryota; Viridiplantae; Streptophyta; Magnoliopsida; Solanales; Solanaceae. The record is from RNAcentral.
UAACUUUAAAUUAAAUUACUCUGAACAAAUUUACAAUUCCCAAAACCGGUGAUACAAGUCAUAAGCCUUUCUAAGAGUAGUUAUAUAAAAUAAAUACAACACUGUUCCAGAACGAGAAGGAAUCAAUGGAACGUAAAUACAAACGAAGGUGACUCCGAGGCCUGCGAACGCAACCACAAGUUACCGUGAGUCUCCACCGCGACCAUCUGUACAGCUACUAUCGAUCAAUACCUGGAUCUGUACACAAAAAUAUACAGAAGUGUAGUAUGAGCACACCACGGCGGUGCCCAAUAAGUAUCAAGACUAACCUCGGUAGGGUAGUGACGAGGAACAGUCAAGACACCUACUGGUCAAAUGAAAUGAACAAGAUAUGAUAGUGAAAUAUCGAGAUAAAGAUAACGAGAUAAUAUCAACAGAGGAGAAAAAUUAAAAUACAAACAGUAGGAACAAUAAAGGGAGAACAUGGGUAGUAACGAACGAUAAUCAAGUAAAUCAGAUAACCAGGUAAAUCAGAUAACCAAGUAAGUCAGAUAACGAAGUAAAUCAGAUAACCAAGUAAAUCAACACUGACAUAACAGGAAUAAAGACAAGUAAGAAUGUAUUCAAAUAAAGAAGGCAAUACCAACUCAAUCAAUCACAUCAUGUCUAGUACACAAUCCCGACCAUCUCAAUUCUCGGUAUCUCAUAUCAUAAUUCCAACUUCCGAACCUUCAACACACAUGGCAUCUUGUGCCCCCAUAAUUUCCAUUUCACUUUUAUCAACAAAAUCCACAUGUUAUACAAUACAUAAUGUCCGUACAAAUGCACUCAAGAUGUUCAAGAAGUCUCAUUUACCUAAUAUAAGUAAAUUACAAUUUCUAAAAUUAGAAAAGCCAGCGAGAAAAUAUGAAGUUGUUUCUUUUGAAAUUAUUUGAGUAAAGAAGGUACCCCUUUCAAUUAAAAUACAACAUCGAAUGGAUUAUUACCUUUAACAUGGGAGUUAAUAACUUAAAGCUUAGUAGAAAUUCUUUUUUUAGUAAAAUACAACCUCAGGCAGUUUAAAGGGAUAUAAUUGAGAAAAUAAUUGAAUUAAAGAUGUACAAUUAUUGAAGUUUGAAGUAUUGGAAUGUAUAUAUAUAAAUACGGCGAGGUAUUGAAAACACUGUAGGUUCCAACAUAAAGGAUCACAAAAAUAAAGGGAUUUAAAUAGUUAAAGUACUUGAAUUGAUAACAACAAAUAAACACAUCAACAGAAAGUGCACGACAUCACCCUUCAUGCUUUUACUCUCGUUAUCACUAUAAGAAUUAAUAUUCACUUUUAUUCUUUCUUGUUGAGACAUUCAACCCGAUCCUAAAUCAUAUAAUACCGUUGCGGCGUGCAACCCGAUCUCAUUUCACAUAAUACCGUUGCGGCGUGCAACCCGAUCCCAUUUCACAUAAUACCAUUGUGGCGUGCAACCCGAUCCCAUUUCAUAUAAUACCGUUGCGGUGUGCAACCCGAUCCCAUUUCACAUAAUACCAUUACGGUGGGCAACCUGAUCCCAUUUCACGUAAUACCGUUACGGCGUGCAACCCAAUCCCAUUUCAUAUAAUACCAUUCCGAUGUGCAACCCCGAUCCCCAAAUACAAUACAACAUCAAGCAUAAAAGAAUCCCAGCAAAGGAACAAGAGUAAAACAACAACAUCCCGGCAAGAGCGACAAUAUCGUAAACAAUAACAUCCAGGUAAGAGAAUCAACAAGUACAUCAUAAGGGUCACAGAAAAGAAACCAAGAAGCACGAUAACCUCAACAAAACAACAAGACAUAAUAAGCACGUGAUACUACACCGGUAACCACAACAAUUGGACAUGUAACAUAUUUGCACGAAGUCAUGGAAGAACUCACAAUCAAGAAGUAUCCAAAAUAAUAAGGGAGGCAAUCACUUCAAUUAAGACAAUUAAGGUUCACUUUAAUACGUAGGAAUUAGAGGAAAGUUAACAACAUCAUAUGAAGCAUAUAGAGGCAAUUCAAGAAAUUAUUAAACCCAAUUAUAACAGGAUACUUUCCACAUAAUGGACAUAAGAACCUAAGAAAUCUAGAGGCAAAUUUUCCACAAAUAAAUCCGAGCACACUGUUACAUCCCACAAUAUUACGAUGAUGUUACGCCUUGCAGUAUUACAUUACGAUGAUGUUACGCUUCUCAGUAUUAAGUUACUAUAUGUUGCACCGUAUAGUAUUGUACGUUGAAUUUGUCGUAAGGUAAUUGACAUCAGUCCAAGUAAAAGAUUAUUUGGAGAUUAUAGAGAUUAUGCUAUUUCACAAGUAAUGAGUAAAUUCGUGAAGGUGAAAGGGGAAUCAAUUCAAAGAAAAUAAAUUUUUGUCAAAGUUUGGCAUUUUGGGGUAAAAUACGGUCCGAGCUAAAAAAUCCGGUAUUUAUGGACUAGUGUCAUACGAGGUACCACAUGACAAUGAUAGUAAGGUGUAUAAAGUGUGUUAAAAGUGAGUAGUAUUUUGAGUAACUUGAGAUAAUUCUUGAUUAUGUGGGUAAUUGAUUAAUUAUUGAUUUAGUGAGAGAUUAACCAAAUUAAUUAAAGGUUGUGGAUAAUUAUUUAAGUAAGAUUUUGAUAAUUAUUAGGGGCGACAACAAUCUACGUGGGAUUAUGAAGAUACCAAAUUGCCAACUAAUCUUAUACUUAAGGAGGAUGUGGCACUAUCCAUGUGCACCUUAUCUUAUUUUGGAUUCAAAGAUUCUAUUAAGGCUUCUCUAAAUUGACAAAGUGAAAGGCUUAUGAGUUUGUAAACCUACAACAACAAUAAGGAUGAUUUUUUUUGAAAAAGUGGGAUGUAUUAAUUCAUUUUGGAGGAAAGUUGAACAAGGUCUUUAUUGCUAAGCUACUAUAGUAUCUUUUGCUAAAGGAGCAGCAAAUUAAUGUACAAUGGAAAGAUGAACAACGUGAUAUUAAGGGAAGACACAUUUUCUAUUCAAGGUAAGAAAGGAUUAAGAUUUCUCUACUUCAUUCUCCCGUCAAUUUUACAUUUCUAUUACCGAUUCCUUAUGGUUGUUAGCGGAUCAAAGUUAGCUUGUAGUAAUGUAAAAGGGAAGGAAGUUUAAAAGAGGGAAACAAAAGUACACUCCAUCAUCAACGACUUUCUACAAGCUUGCCGCUAAUCCAUUGUUGUUGUGUUAUUGUCCUCUCUCGUAGAUUAACAUGUGUUGGAAGGGUUGUCGUUGUGGUUACUAAAGAAUUCCAACAAAGAUAAGUUAAGGCUAUCCCUUCUUUCUUUUGUCAUGAUCUAUACGACACAAACGAAACGUACAAAUGCACAAAUUCCAUAANNNNNNNNNNNNNNNNNNNNNNNNNNNNNNNNNNNNNNNNNNNNNNNNNNNNNNNNNNNNNNNNNNNNNNNNNNNNNNNNNNNNNNNNNNNNNNNNNNNNNNNNNNNNNNNNNNNNNNNNNNNNNNNNNNNNNNNNNNNNNNNNNNNNNNNNNNNNNNNNNNNNNNNNNNNNNNNNNNNNNNNNNNNNNNNNNNNNNNNNNNNNNNNNNNNNNNNNNNNNNNNNNNNNNNNNNNNNNNNNNNNNNNNNNNNNNNNNNNNNNNNNNNNNNNNNNNNNNNNNNNNNNNNNNNNNNNNNNNNNNNNNNNNNNNNNNNNNNNNNNNNNNNNNNNNNNNNNNNNNNNNNNNNNNNNNNNNNNNNNNNNNNNNNNNNNNNNNNNNNNNNNNNNNNNNNNNNNNNNNNNNNNNNNNNNNNNNNNNNNNNNNNNNNNNNNNNNNNNNNNNNNNNNNNNNNNNNNNNNNNNNNNNNNNNNNNNNNNNNNNNNNNNNNNNNNNNNNNNNNNNNNNNNNNNNNNNNNNNNNNNNNNNNNNNNNNNNNNNNNNNNNNNNNNNNNNNNNNNNNNNNNNNNNNNNNNCCCAUAGUGGCUGUAAAUAAUGAUUCAAACGGCGUUAUAUACGCAUAUAUAUGUAUGUAUAUAUAUAUAUAUCAUAACAUAUAGGACUUAAAUAUCAUAACAAACUUAUACUGGGCUCCGGAACAAAAAUAUAGGCCCGAUACCAACGAUUUCAAACGAGUUAAUUAUAGGUUUUCUAUCAUUUUCCCUAAAAAGUCAAAAUUUGACCCCGGGCCCGCUUGGUCAAAACUCGAGGUUCGGACCAAAACUCGAUUACCCAUUUACCCACGAGCCCAAAUAUGUAAUUAGUUCUAGUAUCCGACCCCAAAUCAAGGUCUAAAUUCCCAAAUUUGCAAAAUUUCCAAUUUUUUCCAAAAUCCCUAAUUCUACCAUGAAAGAACAAGAUUUAGGCCUAAAAUGCUAAUGGGUGUUGAUGGAAAAUGAAAGAAAUGGGUUUAAGAAUACAAACCUAUGAUUUGAUGUUGAAAUGUCUCUACAAAAUUCGCCCAAGGUCACUUUCUAUGGAGGAAAAUAUAAAAUUUUGGUCUAAUCCCAUCUUUGGUUCUGUUUUUAAAACACUGGACAGACCUUCUUCGCGUUCGCUAAGGGUCUGUCGCGUUCGCGAUGUUUUGCGGCCAGAAGGGCCUUCGCGUUCACGAUGAGCUGCUCGCGUUCGCAUCUGUCCCCCCCGACCAUCACGUUUGCGGGCCUGGGAUCGCGUUCGCGAAGAGCAACUCAGAGACUCCCUCAGCGCCCCUCCAUUACACUACGCGUUCGCAUAUGGUCGGUCGCGUUCGCGAAAAGAAAUCUCCCCCAGUGCUCCGCAUUCACGAACAAAGCCACGCAUUCGCGUAGAAGAAACCCUUCCCCAAGCCAGCUUGCACUUCGCGUUCGCGAAGCACAUAGCAUUAGAACACCAAAAGCAGCAAUACAACAGAAAUUCCUAAGUCCAAAACAUCUCGAAACCUAUCUGAAACUCUCCCGAGCCCUCGGGGCUCCAAACCAAAUAUGCACACAAGUCUAAAAAUAUCAUAUGGACUUAUUCGUGCGAUCAAAUUGCCGAAAUAACAUUUUAAACAACAAAUUUAGCAUUAAAAUCAAUGAAAAUCUCAAGAACUCUUAAAGUUACUAUUUUCACAACCGAGGGUCCCAAUCACGUCAUAUGAAUUCCGUUUCUUACUAAAUUUUACAAACAUAACUUAAAUACCGUAUUAAACGUGUACCAGGCUCCGGAACUAAAAUACGGGCCCGAUACCAUCGAAAUCAAGCAUCAUUAAAUUUCCAAAAACUCUUAUAUUUUCAGUUAAAUAAUUUUCCUCAAAAAUUUAUUUCUCGGGCUAGGGACCUCGGAAUUCAAUUUCGGGUAUACGCCCAAGUCCCAUAUUUUUCUACGGACUCUGUGGGACCUUCAAAUCAUGGGUCCAUGUUCGUUUACCCAAAAUAUUGAACGAAGUCAACUUAAUUUAAUUUUUAAAGGCAAAAUUAGCAUUUUUCUCAAAUUUUCACAUAAAGGCUUUCCGUAAGAGUGCCCGGACUGUGCACGCAAAUCAAGAAGAAAGAAAAUAAGGUCUGAAGGUCACGGAACCCGGAUUGGGUUCUAAAACACGAGAUGACCUUUUGGGUCAUCACAUUUGUGAACUUAUUCACCCACCUAGUGGGUCAUUUAGAUAUUUUAUGAUUUUAAUAGAUGCAUCAUCUAGAUGAUCUCAUGUGUGUCUAUUUUCAUCUCGCAACCUCGCAUUUGCGAAAUUAGUGGCACAAAUAAUUCGAUUACAUGCACAAUUCCCCGAUAAUCUAAUUUAGUCUAUUAGGCUUGAUAAUGCUGCUGAGUUUUCAUCCCAAGCAUUUAAUGAUUAUUGCUUAUCAAUUAGGAUAAGAGUGGAACAUCCUGUAGCUCAUGUUCACACUCAAAAUGGUCUUGCAGAGUCUUUAAUUAAACGUUGGCAAUUGAUAGCAAGACCGUUACUCAUGAAAACGAGGUUACCCACUUAUAUUUGGGGUCAUGUCAUUUUGCAUGCAACAAUCCUAAUUCGUCUUAGACCGACAAAUUAUCAUAAAUAUUUUUCGUUGCAAUUAGUUUUGGGUCAUGAACCUAAUAUAUCCCAUUUAAGAAAAAUGAGGUACAAAGAUAUAAGGCACGCCUUGUUGCACAAGAAUUUUCACAAAGGCAUGGUGUCGAUUAUAAAGAGACAUAUUCACCCUUUAUGGAUGCUAUAAUAUUCCGUUAUCUCAUUUGUUUUGCUGUCUAUGAAAAGCUUGACAUGCAUUUAAUGGAUGUGGUUACCACCUAUCUUCAUGGCUCACUUGAUAAUGAGAUAUACAUGAAAAUUCCCGAGGGAUUUAAAAUGCCUAAUGCAUAUAAUUCAAAGUCCCGGCAAAUAUUUUCAAUCAAAUUGCAAAGAUCUUUGUAUGGUGUAAAGCAAUCAGGACGAAUGUGGUAUAAUCAAUCGUCUUAGUGAGUAUUUAUUAAAGGAAGGCUAUAUAAAUGAUACCAUUUGCCCAUGUAUUUUUAUAAAGAAAACAACAUCAGAAUUUGUUGUACUUGCUGUAUAUGUUGAUGACAUAAACCUUAUUGGAACUCCUAUAGAACUCCAAGGCAAUUGAUUAUUUAAAGAGGGAAUUCGAGAUGGAAGAUCUCGGAAAGACAACAUUAUGCCUCAGUUUGCAAAUUGAACAUUUGGCAAACAGAAUUUUCGUCCAUCAAUCUACCUACAUAGAAAAGGUAUUGAAACGGUUUUACAUGGAUGUAGCACAUACAUUAAGUACUCCGAUGGUUGUUCGAUCACUUGAUGUGAAUAAGGAUCCAUUCCGACCUUAAGAAAAGAAUGAAGAGCUACUUGGUCCUGAAAGCAAUUGGUGCACUAAUGUAUCUUAUUAACAGUACAAGGCCUGAUAUAACUUUUUCAGUUAAUGUCUUAGCAAGAUAUACCUCCGCUCCUACAAGGAGACAUUAGAAUGGAAUCAAACACAUAUUAUGGUAUCUAAAAGAGACUACCGAUAUGAGCUUAUUUUAUGGCAAUAAUUGCAGUUUCGAUCUUGUUGGUUAUGCCGAUGCUGGGUAUUUAUCUGACCCACAUAAGGCUCGAUCUCAAACAGGCUAUGUGUUUACAUGUGGAGGUACUCAAUAUCUUGGCGAUCGACUAAGCAAUCAAUCGUGGCUACUUCAUCUAAUCAUGCUGAGAUAAUUGCUAUUCAUGAAACAAGUCGAGAAUGUAUGUGAUUGAGGUCUAUAAUACACCUUAUUCGAGACAAAUGUGGUUUGAAAUGUGACACUCUACCCACGAUUUUGUAUGAAGACAAUACAACAUGCAUAACCCAACUGAAGGGAGGAUUCAUAAAAGGAGAUAGGACAAAACACAUUUCACCAAAGUUAUUUUUUAUGCAUGAUCUUCAAAAGAAUGGUGCUAUCAAUGUGCAACAGAUUCGUUUAAGUGAUAAUAUAGUUGAUUUGUUCACCAAAUCUCUACCGACGUCAACCUUCAAGAAGCUAAUGUACAAGAUCGGGAUGCGAAGACUCAAUGAUAUGAAUUGAUGCUCUCAUCAAGGGGAGUUAAUACACAUUGUACUCUUUUUUCCUUACAAGGUUUUGUCCCGCUGGAUUUUCCUUACAAGGUCUUUAACGAGGGAACUAAAAGGCGUAUUGUUAGAUAUGUGUAUUCUUUUUCCUUUACUAGAAUUUUUUUCCCACUGAGUUUUAUUUUAGUUAAGGUUUUAAUCGAGGCACAUUAUCUGUUGAAUAGACAUUUAAUGGAGAGUGUUAUAAAUAGAGUUUUAUUUACGAUGAAUGUCUAUAUUUUGGAGAGAUUUUAGGAAUUUUACUUGGUGACUAAGUCACUCUUUUCUUAUAGAAGGGCAUAUUCCAUUGUAAUUCAUCUCAAAUAUAUAAGAAUUCUCUCUAUUUCUUUGCAAUAUCCUUCUUUAUUGUUUUAUUUCAAUAAGUUAGUUGAAGAUGAAAUUAAAAUAAAAACGGAUUCAAUUCAUUUUAAUAUACUACUCUACAAGAUACUACGCGUAGCCAUUUUUAAGACGCUUCUUAACAGAUACCACUCUUCUCCUACUGUGCUGGAACCUGGUCUUCUUCAUCUUUCGAAGUCGCAAGCUAACGUGUAAGUUCCCCUUUUCUUUUUGUCCUCAAUUAGCAAAAUCUUUCUUAUUACAGCCGAUUUCAUUUUCCAUUCAUCUCAGUUCGACAGUUUCUUGUAUUUAAUAUCAUUUUAUUUAACGUACCCCUAAAAUCUGAAUAAGUCCAGAUGGAUUUUUGAGUUAAUUUAAUUGAACAUGAUAACUAUUAUUUUUUGUAAUUAACUAUUUUUUCGGUCUGCAACAAGUAAAUUUGGGAAUAUACAACAGCUGGAUUAUUUAAAGGCUUACUCUGUACCUCAACAGGAGUAUUUACAGAUUCAAGCAUCAUGUAGUUGCACUUGCACACAGCUAAUAAACAUUUUUGUACCUUAGUUGUGAUUUAUUCCUUCUACUUCUCCUUUUGAAGGUUUAUUUUGCACUAGUAGUCUGAAGUGUAAGAUCUCAAAAACCUUAAGUCUGUUGUGAAUACAAACACGUUGGCAGCUGACAAAGAUGACAGGGAGGAUGCCACUAGUGACCAUCACAUGGAUCUGCCACUUAGGAGUUUUAGAACAGUAAUUCCUCCGGUUAAACUUGGGGAUUACGUUUGGAAAGGAGGAGGGACACGUAAGUAAAAUGACAGAGUUUGUUAGAAAGAUAAAAGCAACAGUAGUGCGGCAUUGCGAGGCAGGCAAAAAUGUUAUGAGUGAUUUCUGGUUUUCUCAUCCCUUUCUUCUGUUUCCUCAUCUCCUUCCUCUACCUAUCUUAGCUACUUUCCUUUUGCAUUUUCAUUUGUAAUUCAGUCAAUUGACUGUUGCAAGUUACUGUCCAAUUUGUAAUUGUUCUCCAGUUAACUAACAUCAAUUAGAUAGUUUGGCUACUGUUUCAUUGAGUAAUAGUUGGCAUUACAUUGGUGCUUUCAUUUUAUAGGUCUGUGAUGGAAGACCAACAACAACUCAAGGCUCUCAUUGCCGACUCGGUUCAGGAAGUGAAGGAUUCCAUUUCUAAAGAACUCGCUGAGAUUCGUGGGAUUCUCCUGGAGGUUGUCGGAAACAGAGCUCUGGCAGGUCGGGGACAAGAGGUAACCACUCUUCGUCACAAGCCGGCUUCGGUGGAGUUUGGUCAAUUUUGCGGCGAGAAUCCAGAGGCUUGGUUAUUUCAAGCGGAGCGCUACUUUGCUCAUUAUGAAAUUGCGGAUGAUGAGAAGCUCACUAUUGCAUCGUUUUACCUCGACGGCGAUGCCUUAGAAUGGUAUCGAUGGUUGUACUGGAAUAAGCAAUUGGCGGGUUGGGAGCAUUUUGCAGAGAAGGUACGGAUUCGUUUCCUUCCUAAGGGGCUCGAAUCUGCUGAAGGACGGUUGGCCAAGCUCCGGCAAAUCACCACCGUAUCUGAGUUACAAAGCCGCUUUGAGAAGAUAGCAAACGAGACUACUGACAUCUCUGAUCGGCUCUUGGUACGUCUUUUUGUUUCUGGGCUGCGUACUGAUAUUAAGAGUUCUGUUUUAGCCCAUCGGCCCACUACAUAUGAGGAUGCUGUACAUUUAGCCCAUAUUCACGAGAAACGUAUCCUAGCUGAAAAAGGCCCACCUCGCCCCGCAUUUGCCAAUAGAACUCCGCCCCUUUUACCCAACCCUGAUACAGUCCCAAAUAAUAUUUCCUCCACCUCUGUCGGCCCUUCCAAUUCACCACCGCAAAACCGCCCACCCAUUAAACGAUUAUCCCAUGCUGAACUUCAGAGCCGUCGAGAGCGGGGUCUUUGUUAUUAUUGUGAGGAAAAGUAUACCGCAGGUCAUAAGUGUAAAUCGCCUCCUCAAUUAUUGCUCCUCACCAAUGAGCCGGAGGUGGUUUUAUCCAUGCCGGAACCCUUCCUCUCUGAUGAAGUAUUGGCAGAGGAGUUGCAAUGUUUGGAGAUACAGGAACAUUCUACUAUCUCGUAUCACGCUUUAACUGGUGGUCAUUCCCCAUCUACACUCCGAUUCACUGGGCAGAUUAAUGGCUCCUCUGUUCAGGUCUUAGUGGAUGGAGGAAGUACCCACAACUUCGUCCAACUGCGAGCCGCGAAGUACUUACAACUGUUUGUGGACUCCAUUUCCCCUGUCGCUGUUAUGGUGGGUAGCGGCCAUCGCCUUAGGUGUGAGGGAGUGGCAAGGCAGACCACCCUUUUACUUCAAGGGAGCACGGUGGUAGAAGAUUUUUAUGUCCUACCAUUCGAGGGGUCUGAUGUGGUAUUAGGGGUAUCAUGGCUCGCCAAAUUAGGUCCUGUACUUACUAAUUAUGCCACUAGGGAAUUUGAGUUCAACUGGAAUGGGUGUCGAGUGAAGUGGCAAGGGGAACCCUCUAUUGAUAUUCAACCGAUACAGUUACAUAGCUUGCGAAGGAUGGCUGCCACCGACGCUAUUGCUUCAUUCUUUCAUCUGGAAAUGCUUUGUGGGGAGGUAGCAUCCGUGGUGGCACCCACUGCAGAGUUAGCGUCCCUUUUGGACUCUUUUGAGGAUGUUUUUCAAAAAACAGUGGGCUUACCACCCUCACGUGCCCAAGAUCAUGCUAUACAUCUCAUUCCGGGCGCGCAACCUGUUAAUGUGAAGCCCUACAGGUACCCCUAUUUUCAAAAGCAAAUUAUGGAACAACUAGUUGCCGAUAUGCUCAAGGAAGGUGUGAUUCGAGCAAGCGCUAGCCCUUUCUCUUCUCCAGUGCUGCUGGUCCGUAAGAAGGAUGGCACAUGGCGAUUUUGUGUCGACUAUAGAGCAUUGAAUGCACUGACCAUCCGUGAUCGCUUUCCAAUCCCUACCAUAGACGAAUUGUUUGAUGAGUUAUUUGGGGCACAAUUUUUUUCCAAGCUGGACCUUCUUUCUGGGUAUCACCAGAUAAGAGUUAAGCCCGAAGAUGUGGCUAAGACCGCAUUUCACACUCAUGAAGGUCAUUACGAAUUCCUCGUCAUGCCCUUUGGCCUUACUAACGCCCCCUCUACAUUCCAGGCGCUAAUGAAUGACAUUUUCAGACCAUGUUUACGGCGCUUUGUCUUAGUAUUUUUCGAUGAUAUAUUGGUCUAUAGUCCAGAUUGGGAGGCACAUCUGGAGCAUUUGGAACUUGUUCUGUCCUUGCUUCGAAAGUAUCAGUUGGUCGCCAAAAGAUCUAAGUGUCUAUUUGGUCAGCAGUCGGUGGAUUAUUUGGGGCACGUUAUUUAUGCUCAAGGGUUGUCUGUUGAUCCUGCCAAGAUUGCUGCAAUUCAGCAAUGGCCUAUCCCUCGCUCUGUAAAAGAUGUCCGUAGUUUUUUGGGAUUAGCCGGGUAUUACCGGCGUUACAUUCAUCAUUAUGCCGCGAUUGCCGGGCCACUUUCAGACCUAUUGCGGAAAGACUCUUUCAAAUGGAGCGAGGCAGCACAAGAAGCUUUCGAUGCAUUGAAGUCUAAGUUGGCUGCGACACCUGUUUUGACUUUGCCGAAUUUCAACCAGGAAUUCCAAUAGAGACAGAUUCUUCGGGGCAAGGCAUUGGGGCUAUCUUAUCACAAAAGGGUCAUCCUAUAGCCUAUUUCAGCCAGAAGUUGUGUCCAUGAAUGCAAAAUGUCUCGACUUAUCACAGAGAAAUGUUUUCCAUUACUCAAGCUGUGAGUAAAUGGCGACAGUAUUUGUUGUGGAGAAAAUUUACCAUUUAUACGGAUCAACAGUCCUUGAAGAAUCUCACAAAUCAGACCAUUCAAACACCUGAACAAUAGAAAUGGCUCACAAAGUUGGUGGGCUAUGAUUUUCGCAUCGUGUGUCGGCCCGACAAGCAAAACAUUGUAGCUGAUGCCCUGUCUCGUACCCCUGCUGCUUCUUUAAUGGUUCUGUCUGUCAACACCUUCGCAAUCGAACAAGAAUUGAAAGCUCUAAAUCAGUCCCACCCUGAGUUAUUAGAUAUACAGCAGCGUUUACAGCAAAAAGAUGUGAACUUCUGCGAGUAUCAAUGGAAAUAAGGUCAUCUGUUUUACAAAGGAAGAUUGGUGGUUCCUUCAGAUUCACCACUCCGCCAUAAGCUCAUGUUCGAUUUCACUCUUCAUCCAUUGGCGGCCAUGCUGGGGUAGCCCGAACCUAUCACCACUUAGCUUCCAAUUUCUUUUGGAACCACAUGCGACGAGAUGUUAAAUCCUUUGUAGCUGCAUGCCAAGUUUGUAAGCAGAUGAAGGAUACUCAUUUGCAUUCAGCGGGGUUGUUACAACCCCUUCCUAUUCCUGACCAAGUGUUUGAGGAUAUUGCAAUGGAUUUUAUCACUUGUCUUCCAAGUUCGAAAGGGAAGACUACAAUCAUGACAAUAAUUGAUCGUUUAUCCAAAUAUGGGCACUUUAUUCCAUUGCCAUCUACAUUCUCUACUCAAUUGGUUGCAGAAGCUUUUGUCGUGGGUGUAAUUCAGCUUCACGGUCCACCAAGAACUAUUGUAACUGACCGAGACCCUAGGUUCUUACACUCUUUUUGGCAAGAGCUCAAUCGCUUACAGGGAUCUACUUUGGCUAUGAGUACUGCCUAUCAUCCCCAAUCGGAUGGGCAGUCUGAAGCUCUAAACAAAUGUGUCGAGCAGUACCUCCGCUGCUAUGUUGCUGUUGUUCCUUCGCAAUGGGUAGCUAUGCUGCCGUGGGCUGAAUAUUGGUACAACACAGCCUACCAAACAUCAGCAGGGAUGACUCCGUUCCAUGCCUUGUAUGGUCGUGAACCCCCGACUAUUGCCCGUUAUAUACUAGGCAGCACUGCUAGCGGGUUGGUGGAGACUUAUUUGCUACAACGGGAUGAAGUGCUGCAGUUGCUCAAGCACAACUUGGCCAAGGCGCAAACACGCAUGAAAACUCUAGCUGACAAGUCGAGGACUGAGGUUGCCUUUGAGAUUGGGGAUUGGGUUUACGUCAAAUUAAAACCCUAUAGGCAGGUAUCCCUUCGUUUGCAAAAGGAUCACAAAUUAGGUAGACGAUACUUUGGUCCUUUCCAGGUCCUCAAAAGGAUCGGCUUAGUGGCAUAUAAGUUGGAGCUUCCAGAGGCGGCUAAGAUUCACCCUGUUUUUCAUGUCUCUACUAUGCUCAAGCGAUAUGUGGGAAGCCCAGACCAACAAAUUAUGCCGCUAAAUCUGUUUGAUUUCGCCAAUGACUCUUCCCAGCUCGAUCCAAACCUUGAGGACAAGGUUGUUUUUCAGGGAGAGAGUAAUGUUGUGAAUACAAACACGUUGGCAGCUGACAAAGAUGACAGGGAGGAUGCCACUAGUGACCAUCACAUGGAUCUGCCACGUAGGAGUUUUAGAACAGUAAUUCCUCCGGUUAAACUUGGGGAUUACGUUUGGAAAGGAGGAGGGGCACAUAAGUAAAAUGACAGAGUUUGUUAGAAAGAUAAAAGCAACAGUAGUGCGGCAUUGCGAGGCAGGCAAAAAUGUUAUGAGUGAUUUCUGGUUUUCUCAUCCCUUUCUUCUGUUUCCUCAUCUCCUUCCUCUACCUAUCUUAGCUACUUUCCUUUUGCAUUUUCAUUUGUAAUUCAGUCAAUUGACUGUUGCAAGUUACUGUCCAAUUUGUAAUUGUUCUCCAGUUAACUAACAUCAAUUAGAUAGUUUGGCUACUGUUUCAUUGAGUAAUAGUUGCCAUUACUAAGUCUAUGGAAUAUUGGAGAUUCAAACAACACUUUUUUAAGUGAAGUAUAAGGAACAAAGAAAAAAAUAGAGAAAAUUACAACAUAUUAAUCAGCACCAGCAGUUCAGGUCCUUUGCUUUUUGCUGACUAUAUGAGGCUUCUCCUCCUUGAAUUUGUGUAUUAUGGUUAGAAUGUUAGACUUUAGAUUAUGUAUAUUAUCUCACCUUAGAAAAAAAAUUAUUGUGUAGGCAUCUGUAGUAGCUUCUAUCUCUACCUUCACUAGGUAAGAGUUCUCUACCUUCACUAGGUAAGAGUAAGGUUUGCGUACACACUAUCCUCCCCAAACCCUACCCGUGGGAAUACUGGGUUUUUUGUUGUAGUUGUUGUUGUAUCUGUAGUAGCUUCUAUGUACCAAUCUCUUCACUUAUUUUUGAUAGAAUGAGCUUAAUCAAGAAUCCGAUUACUAUUUUUAUUCGCGAUUUUAGUAUUUAAGUUAUAAUAGGAUAUAGUUAAAACAAGCUAAGAGCUCGAAACUGGCAUCUAAGUCUUAAGCCCAAGUUCUGUAUUUAGAGCUAUGAUUGGACAUGUUUCUGAGCGAAAAGCUCAUGAAACUAGAAGUAUUACAAUAUAACCAAAAGUGUUUGUAAGAAGUAAUUUCUUCUCAAAUGUAUUGCUAUCCCAAAACACUGUCAAUAUAUGUUACAUUACCAUAAGUCAAAGCCUUGUAUUCAAAUGUUCGAAUACUCACUUAUCCUGCGGGCGAAGAAAUAGGUUUUUGCCUCAAUUAGAGCAAAUAUUUGUCCUAAGAAUAUCAACUAGCCACACUAUUAUAUCGGGGUUUUCUUGUUUACGGAUAGCAGAGGAGCAGUAUUCCUUUAUCAGAAGUGGUGAAGCCUUUUCAAAAAGUUUUGAUUAUAUCUGCCGUUCAUGGAUAUAGUUCAAUUGGAGCAUUUGGAUGUAUGCUUGCUUAAACUAGUAGACAUUCUGAAUAUGAGCUUGUCUUUUUCAGGGUUUGAAGUCAUUAUACGAUCAGCAAUGCCUCACAGAAGUCGGCCUAUGAGAGCACUUCUACUGUUUACCGGACUUAUAACCUGUUUGGCCAAACUUCUUUUUGGCCGAAAGUAAUUUUUUUUUUUGCCAAAAAAAUUGAGGCGUUUAGCCAAGCUUUUGGAAGGAAAAAAAAUGCUUUUGAGGAGAAGCAGAAGCAGAAAAAAGUAGUUUCUCUCCAAAAACACUUUUUUGAGAAGCAUUUUUGAGAAAAAUACACUUAGAAACAGUUUUUUAAAGCUUGGCCAAACACUAAUUGCUGCUCAGUGUUUUUCAUACUAAUUAGCCAAACACAAACUACUGCUUCUCACCAAAAGUACUUUUAAGAAAAACACUUUUGAAAAAAAGCACUUCUCAAAAUAAGCUGAUUUUUGCAGCUUGGCCAAACAGGCUAUUAACGUUGUUUUGGUCUCAACAAUAACUCCUGUCUAUGAUUUUGUAUGCUUCCAUCCUUAUUGGGAAAGAAGAGUAAGGCACCUCUUUUCCUUGUAUCCGUAUAAACUUGAAAAAUUAUUCUUUCUUUCAGCACUCAAUGGCUUAUUUACAUCUUUUAUACUUCAUUCUUGACUGUGCAUCUUCCUGCCAUGAUAUUUUACCUGAUGAGAAAUACAUUAUAAAACACAUAAAACUUGUAGUGGUUAUGCUUGUUUAAAUGAAACUUACAGUUAUCACCAGCAUUGGCCAUAUUGUUGUGGCUUAAUUUAACGGGUUAUAUAGUUAUUGGUUACUCAGAGAUCUUGCUGUGUUUAGGCCAUCACUAUUCAGUAGGGGUGUUUCUAUUUCCUGUUAAAAGUGGACUUGAAGUGGAAUUGAAUUUUUCUCAACUUUUCCGUAACCAAUUGUACGUUCAGUAUAGUCUUUUUCUCCCUCUUGUUUUGUGACACUGCAUGGUAACUGGUAACUUACUUCCGUCAUCUAUGACAGAGAGAAUGUCAGCAUCAGGAACAUGAAGCAGCGUUGAGAGGUUAAGCAUCUGUAUUAUCGAGGUUGGGGAUUAUGUUUAGCCGGUCUUUAGUUUAAAUUGGUCACAAGACAAAACGAACUUAUAGAGGAUGUUGGAGACCUAAUUUGCUUCUGGUUUUAUUGUGUACCCUUGAGUUUCCUUGGUAUUUAUUUAGAGUAAAAUCAAGCUGUGUACAAGUAUUAAGAAUUGCAAUCGGAAGGAAAGAAAUACAAAGAUGAUAUUAGCUGACCUUUUCUUUUCAAAGAGACUUGUGUUAGAGAUUGUUUGAGGAACCUCUGUUACUCCCUCUCCGUUGGUGAUUCUUUGGCUGUCAAACCCUGGAUUUGGGUGUAAUAAGAGUAGCUGAAGAAGCCUGCAUUGCUUGUUGCGGUACCACCAUAUCUAGAGAAUGACGCUAAAACUUUUCAACAUCAAUCUAUAAAGAGUAGUGUUCUUGUGCUUUAUGUGAUAAUGCAGCACCAUUGCUCACUUCUUGUCACUUAUUUAAGUGGUCACACAAGAGAUUGGAGGAUUUUGUUUCUUUUAGUAUAGCUUUUAUCGUUUUAGUCUGGUUACAUCUUGGCCUCUCUUCUUUUAAGACAGUGAAGUUACUGUCCCAAUUUUCCUUUUUUUUUUUCUUUUUCAGCAGGGAAAGAAAAUGGAGUAUUAUCACUUUUAGCCAGAAACUAUUUAUAUCUGGCAGCCAAAAAAGUUCAUAAAAAUUGUAUAUAAUAUACAGAAUGUAUAUAUAUAUAGAAAAUAUGCAAUUUUUUUUUAAAUUUUUCCGACUAUUAUUUUUAUAGCGACUGUACAAUGUCAUUUUUUCAAGAAGAAUUGUAAAUUAUUUAUUGUAAAAAUUAUUUAUUGGAACUAUUAGUAAUAUACAAAUAGCAUCAUAAAGAUAAUAUCCUAAUUAACUAGUAGACUCAAAUUUGUUACAAGAUCAUAAUUUAUUGAAUUUUUAUUCAAUUCCUUCUAAACAUGAAAAUAGCUUUCAUUUGCUUUUUUUAUGCAUUGUUCUGGUGAAAGACACGAGAUUACUCAAGCUUUCACAAGUAUUUACGCUGAUGAAUUGUCUUAAUCUCCUUAGCCUCAAGUGUUUUUUUAUCUUUCCAAUAGCACGUAUUAAAAUAUUAAAUUUCAAUUAAUUCCCUUAAACUUUUAAAUAUAGGAAACAAUAGCUAUUUCCCAUUUUGAAUGAACUAGAGAACCUCCUUAGCUAACAUUUUCCAAACUUUAGAAUUAUGCUUGACUCACCUAUAAACUAGUCACAAUUUUUAAUUUUUUUUCAUAGUUUCCAAGAAAUAAUUUGAUGAAAUAUUUUCAAUAAUUAGAGGAGAAAUUUGUAAAAAUGUA